Molecule: long non-coding RNA, 656 nt
Organism: Pararge aegeria (speckled wood butterfly)
Lineage: Eukaryota; Metazoa; Arthropoda; Insecta; Lepidoptera; Nymphalidae
Exons: 3
Source: RefSeq, a predicted model, not a curated record
CUAUCGAUAUCAACGAACAAAGCGAAUGAUAUGUCAGCACCUCGUUAUAGAUACAAUCGAAAAUCAUAAAUACCGCCAAUCGGACACGACACAACGCAAAACGAAUCCAAACAAAGCCACUGACAAACAGUUUUAUCAUUUGAAACCAUAAAGCAUGCUACCCACUGAGUUGCGGAGCUACCACAAAGGGAAAAGUAUAAUAUUAUAAGACCCCGCUGAGUUCUUUAGUGAACGGAUGAAGACGGUUCAAGGUUAAGGAGUGGCAACCUUGCACCGGAAAGCAAGAAAAAUGUGUUUUUAAGAAUAAUUAGCCAGAAGGUGAAUACGCAUCAAGUGAGUCGGAGUAAGUUACUAGACUCAAGCAGCACGAGAUCGUACGAUCAUAUGCCGGAAAAGAUUAAUCUUGCAUGCUGGAGGAUGUAUUUACUAAGAUCUCUUCUACAAAUGUACGAUGAAUAAAGAUGCUGACUUGCCGUUCAAUAUUUGUACAAAAUAAGCAAAUUAAUAAAGUUUUUAUCAAUUACUUUCCAAAACAGGAUAUUAUUUGACAAUCCAAUUUAAACGAAUUGAAAAUAAAUGAGGCCUCGCAUCCUGAACGAAUCCAAAAGAAAUGACCAAAUCAUCACAGUACGAUCGGACAAAAGAUAACGCCUGUA